This 404-nucleotide ribosomal RNA is filed under the name uncultured bacterium. RNAcentral's name for it is "bacterial SSU rRNA". It matches the Rfam family "Bacterial small subunit ribosomal RNA", at positions 373 to 774 of the family's 1533-position model. The record is from RNAcentral.
GGGCGCGAGCCUGAACCAGCCAAGUAGCGUGAAGGAUGACUGCCCUAUGGGUUGUAAACUUCUUUUAUAAGGGAAUAAAGUGAGGCACGUGUGCCUUAUUGUAUGUACCUUAGGAAUAAGCAUCGGCUAACUCCGUGCCAGCAGCCGCGGUAAUACGGAGGAUGCAAGCGUUAUCCGGAUUUACUGGGUGUAAAGGGUGCGUAGGCGGCCCUGCAAGUCAGGCGUGAAAGGCGGAGGCUUAACCUCCGAGCUGCGUUUGAAACUGUGGGGCUUGAGUGGAGCAGAGGCAGGCGGAAUUCCCGGUGUAGCGGUGAAAUGCGUAGAGAUCGGGAGGAACACCAGUGGCGAAGGCGGCCUGCUGGGCUUUAACUGACGCUGAAGCACGAAAGCAUGGGUAGCAAACA